RNAcentral lists this ribosomal RNA (478 nucleotides) under uncultured bacterium. RNAcentral's name for it is "partial 16S ribosomal RNA". It matches the Rfam family "Bacterial small subunit ribosomal RNA", at positions 28 to 507 of the family's 1533-position model. The record is from RNAcentral.
GAUGAACGCUGGCGGCGUGCUUAACACAUGCAAGUCGAACGAGAAGUGAAGACGGAAACCUUCGGGCGGAAGGCUUUAUUUCGAGUGGCGGACGGGUGAGUAACGCGUGGGUAACCUGCCUCAUACAGGGGGAUAACAGUUGGAAACGACUGUUAAUACCGCAUAAGACCACAGCACCGCAUGGGGCGGGGGGAAAAACUCCGGUGGUAUGAGAUGGACCCGCGUUCGAUUAGCCAGUUGGCGGGGUAACGGCCCACCAAAGCGACGAUCGAUAGCCGAUCUGAGAGGAUGACCGGCCACAUUGGGACUGAGACACGGCCCAAACUCCUACGGGAGGCAGCAGUGGGGAAUAUUGCACAAUGGGGGAAACCCUGAUGCAGCGACGCCGCGUGAGUGAAGAAGUAUUUCGGUAUGUAAAGCUCUAUCAGCAGGGAAGAAAAUGACGGUACCUGAGGAAGAAGCCCCGGCUAACUACGUG